RNAcentral lists this unclassified non-coding RNA (212 nucleotides) under Hevea brasiliensis (rubber tree). The record is from RNAcentral. Lineage: Eukaryota; Viridiplantae; Streptophyta; Magnoliopsida; Malpighiales; Euphorbiaceae.
UUACCUGAAAACAACAAUAUCGGCAACUGAUGCGACUGAGGCAUGUUGUUCUUGUUGUCUUGGCAAUGAGCUAGCGCUUCCUCCAUUGGAAGUGCUGAGACCGUUUCAGUGGUAAUAUCAAAAAGGCUAGAACGGCGUCGGCGGCGAUUGAGAUUGCUCCGGCGAAGAAAAUACUUUUGGGCGUGGCUUGCGACCUGCGUUGGAGUUCGAGU